UGAAUGGUGUGCUGCCAUCUGUGUUUCUAUGUUUGUCGCCUUGUUUGAGCACAUCUCAGAACAAUCAUUUCUUCAUAUCAGAAGCACACUCUCAAGACAUCGGGACGCCAAGGGCCAAACUGUGCAGUCAACACAGCUGAACAUCAUGUAUGAACUGAACGACAUCUAUGCCAAUGUGGAGGACCUGUCGGGCAAACGAAGGAGUAUAUCCCAAAGCUCUGAAGUGUUUAUGAAAAUGUGAUGAUCAACACUCUGAAGCCAAGCAGAAGUGGACCCUCGCCCUCAGCAAAUGCGUUAUCCAACCAAAGACGGGCGUAUAAUGGCGUAUUUCAUGGACGGGUAAGAAGAGAUGGAAAUGGGUGGAUGGGACGCCGCUGACCAAAAGUUUUUUAAACCCUUUGGAGCCAAAUGGACAUCGGUUAAGAGAUGAAGAUGUAGAAAAGAACAGCUGUUAUUUGGAAAACAGCUAGAAUGAUGACCAGUGUGACCACAAAACACUUUGGAGAAGAAAUGUCCUUCAUAACUCCAAACCAAGCAUUCAAACUAACUAAACAAUGAGUUAGAAACAAGGAAAUACUCAAUACUUGGUUCUCUAGUUUAAGCUGAAGUUGACAAGGCAGUUUAACAUAAUGCUAAGCAAGCUACUCUCCAGGUAAAGUGUCCAAUUAAGUGUAAAUGCUCUGAAUUUGAAUAUGAAUAUCUAGUUCUGUGCUUCCUUUUAAACACUGAAUAUGAUGAGUAUUAUUAUUGACAACUCACCUAAAUCCAACCCUAAAUAAGAUGUAAUGAUAUUUCAAUUAUUCCAACAGAUCAUUAUUGCAUCCUGCUUUAAUUGUAUUUUCUAUUGGAAGUAUAAAAGCAUGUGGAACUUCUUCUGCUAAAGAAAGACAUAUUUUAAAUCACUGCUUAAUAAAUAUGUCCAUCCAUCCAUCCAUUGUCAAACCGCUUAUCCUGCACACAGGGUCGCGGGGGGGCUGGAGUCCAUCCCAGCCAACUUCGGGCGAUAGACAGGGUACAUCCUGGAUUGGUCGCCAGCCAAUCGCAGGGCUACACAGAGACAUAUAACCAUUCACACUCACACAUCUACGGGCAAUUUAGAGUCCCCAAUUAACCUGAUCCCCAGAGCAUGUCUUUGGACUGUGGGAGGAAGCCGGAGAACCCGGAGAGAACCCACGCAGACACGGGGAGAACAUGCAGACUCCACACAGAAAGGCCACUGGGCGGAAUCGAACCCAGGACCUUCUUGCUGUGAGGCAACAGUGCUAACCACCAUGCCACCGUGCCGCCCUCUUAAUAAAUAUGUGGUCAAUUUUAUGUUUCCUGCCCUAUUUUAACUUCUACUUCUUCUACAUACAAGUAUUGACAAGUAUUUUUGGGUUGAAUAUAGUUUUGACCCAGUUCUAUAAUUUUUUGGAAUAAACAUUUGCUUUCAUUCUUCACUUAAAUAUAUUUUUACAUAUUCGCUUUGUUAUAUGUUUAGGAUUUCAGAUAUAUAUUUUUAGAGUAUUUCCCUCCAGCUCAUACCUUUACAAACAGACAUGUAUAACAGACAUACUGAAGGUUUUGCAUAUAUACUGUGCUCAGUGGACAAAUAUAUAAAUGCCAUAACUGCCAUUUGACAAGGUUGUACAAUGUGCUUAAUUACUUGUUUGAUUUUUCCCCCCCACUGGGUUUCUGCCCAAGACUUGGUCGCUCAUCGUCAUAUUCUACUGCCUCCUCCUGGUUUCCUUUGUAUUUGAUGUGUCUUCCCUCUUUUGUUCCCUAUUUGUCAAGAGUGAGCUGAUAUUCUCCCCUAUUCAAUCAAUUCAGAGGAUGUCAAAUAGGGGAAUAAAUAGUUAUGCUGAAAGACAAUAUCCGACUCUCACUUAAAACUUUUUCACUUUACUGACUUACUAAUUUUAUGAAAUAAAAUAAACUGUUGGUACAUGCCAUAACCUCAUCUUCCCUUUACCUUUGUACGUAUGUGGUAUAACUCCUCAAACUAUCUCAACGGUCCUUGAUCUGCACCAACUCAAAGGGCAAAAGUGAAAAUGUCCUUGAAACGACCAAAAGAUUUAUUAGGAAUGGAAACACUCUUUUUUGUUACUGAUUUUCAGGUUUUGUUUGUUUGACAAAAGAGUUGUUGGAUAUUAUAUACAUCUCAAUUAUAUAAAGGGAAAAUGCUUCAUCAAAUCACUCUGAACUGACUCUAGAAAACUGAAGGUGCAUUUUACUUAUAAAAGAGAAGUGUAAACGUGCGUGCAGGAAAUGGUGUAUUUCCUGGUUACGGGUUGUUCCUACAUCUGACCGCAGCUGAGAACAUUUACCCGAGAAAGCCACAGAAUAUCAAGUCAGAUGAAAAUGUUAAAACAGUUGUUGCCACUUUAUGUUCCUGCACCCAGAGUGAAUGUACUACUUAUUAUUAAAUUGAUCAAUAACUGAGGCUGAUGGAGAUAAAGAUCCCGACUUCACAAAAG
Molecule: long non-coding RNA, 2456 nt
Organism: Gasterosteus aculeatus aculeatus (three-spined stickleback)
Lineage: Eukaryota; Metazoa; Chordata; Actinopteri; Perciformes; Gasterosteidae
Source: Ensembl